GGUAGGGCUGUAGUUAUAGGAGAACCUUAAAGAGGGCAGUAUGGCUGGGGAUCAGCAGUAGAAGUUUGUGCUAAUUAAUUAAUUAGUAGAGUAGUUAAUACUGCCCCUCUAAUUAGUGUAGGGAGGGAGAAGGUGGUCAUGGAGGGAUUGCCAGUGGUGAGAGGAAAGGAACUUGUUCUAGUGAUGAAGUGGAAGAUAUGUGGAAAACCAGGGAGCCAGUGUUUCUUAAUUCUUAUGAAACUAAUCCUUAAGCAGGCUGUCCCUGAUCAGAAGUUUCUGACACUUAAAACAUAAGAUGAACUCUUGAUUCCAAGCAUGUCUAGCCUUCCUUCUCAAAAAACUUAAAUUAUGUCAUGUGAAGAGGAGGAAAGUGGCAUGCAGGCAGUCUGCCUUCAUUGGUGUGCCUUAUAACUCAGUCAUAAGAAAUAUGAUGAGUGUGUUUAGCAUGCCAGAACUAGAGAUCAUUGCACAGUGCAGAACUUCUGUCAAUGCUGGAAAUAAUUCUGAUAUGGAAGGUACAGGUACCUUGACUACCAUGACAUUCAACUACCAACUACAACCUGCGUAAAGCUUCUGUGUGAAACUCUGUUCUCUGAAACAAAGGUCUCUCAGUGCUGCCGGGGUGGGAACUUGUUCCAGUCAGACUAACUGGGGAUGUGGACAACUCUUGCUUGUAAAGUAUUUUAAGUUUUGUAAAAGGUAAGAGGGUUCAAAAAAACCAGAAACCUGGAUGAGGCAGAACAAACUCAUGUUUUCUAGGGUGUUUUGAAAUUGCAUUAGAGCAAGCUAUGUGCAAGUUCUGUUUUGGGUCUCUACAGAGUAUAUGUCUCAGCUUCUGGGAAGUCCUGUUCCUUGUUUUGGCUGGCCAGUGCCUCCUUUUAAUCCAUGAAUUUGAUGGUUCAUCUUUCUAUUCCAUUGCAAGAAGUCUAACAGAGUGAGAUCUGAGGAAGUGCACAGAGGAAACCUCAAAACAAAGGGGAAUCUUUAAGCCAAUUAAAGCUGCUACCCUGUUAGUUUUGUAAACACUGCAGCAGGUAAGCAUUGCUAAUUAAUAAGCUGCCAAACACCUACCAGCCUAGCAAUGAAAUUGGAAACUUAUUUCAGUGUUGCUUACAAGAUUUCUCAACUUUGGAAUGCUGCAUCAAACUAGUUCAAAACUUCAGUGACUAUUCUAGGAAUUGAUGAACAAGACUGUAAUUGACUUCAGUUCCUGUGAGUACAGCAGACCAGGCUGAAGUUGGAUGUGGAAGUUUCCCUGUCUGCGGAGUAGUAUAAAGUUCAUAGAUACUCCUAGUGAUUCUGGUAUAACUACAUUUUCACUACAGCUAUACCCAUCUUUCAAAGAGGAUAAUGCUCUGCUAGAAAGACUUCCUAGGAAGAAAAACAAUGGUGAGAAUAAAGCUGGAAAAAGCUCUGGGAGCUAGGAAGAUGCUGCACAGGGAGCUUUGAGUACUGUAGAAAAGCAGGUCAGUCUUUGACAUGAGAAGUUUUGCCAGCAAGUGUUGGAGUGCUUGAGCUACAGAUGUUUGUUUACACUGACCACAAACACAAGUUUCAUAACUCUAGUUGUUUUGGAGUUAAUAGUGCCAGUUAAUAUUGUCUCUUCCUGCUUAUGUUCACUCUAUUACCUUGUUUUAGGAGACUUCUGAAAAAUAGGCUACUGCACAGCCUUAAAAUUAAGUUCAUGGAAAACUGAUGUUCAUGUCCUAAACUGAUACACAGCUACAGGACAAAUAAUACUACAGAGAUUUUGAUAAGACUUCUCUGUACAGAAGCAAAUAAAUAGGUGAUAUCUUGUUUGACUUGUAAUAUUUAAAAUAGAAAGCAAAUGCCCUUACUCCUGCGUUGAGAGGCAAGACAUGGCACUUUAACCAUCCUAGGAGAAUCAACCAGUUCACUUGGGUUUUCCUCCUUGCUGUUCUGACUGAAACCUCACAAAAAGAACUGAUUAAAGAAGUUGGACUGUGGCCUCUCAAGAGUUGGAUGUGAAUUUGCUGUUGCAAACUAUGACUGGAUAUUUCUAAUCUACAGCACAGAUGCUUUCCAAAUGCUGGCAAACCAAACUCAACAGGGUAACUAUCUACAGGGUCCUUUUUCUAGUGUGUUUUGAAAAAACAAUUCUCUGCUAGUUGAUCUCAGAACAAAGGUAAAGAGGCAACCCACAAAUUGUUAAGCAAGUUGUUGUGGGGGGAGCCAUCAAAAUAAAACAACCCUGAACUUUGACUGCUGGGGAAGUACAUCACUGGUGUUACUUUCUUUUCAUAAAAUAUACUAAAUACAUACAUUUAAUAGUACAGAUUAGAGACAAAAUGACAGAACAAGACUUGAAGAAUGUGUUGAAAGGGUGAGAGUCAAGUAAAAUGCCCUUCUGUAGCUUGAGAGAGUAACUGUCCCGUCUUCCAGAGGAAAAAAACACAAAGGCAUAAUCUAAUUUCAUGCAUUUGAGACCACAGGACCAGAUGUGCAUAAAUACUUGCAGAGACAAGACUUGGCUAAUACUUCACACAAAUGAAUCUUCAGUUACCAACUGAUGCUGCUUACAGCCAAACAAGUGAGUUUUCAUAGCACUAAACUACCUGUAGAUAUGUUGGGUGUAACAACUGCUGCUCAGGCAAGUGCCCUCAAAACAGUUUGUUGAUAAACACACACACAAGCUCUGUUAGCAAAUAUUGUCCCUCAACAAGUGACAAGCUCUAAGUGUUUGUUGCCUGCUUUCAAAAUUUGUCUGCACCAUAUUUACUGAACUGUUGUGUUCAAUUUUAACUGCUGCCAUAAAAAAUUUUAGAAGUGUAAUAAAGUAUAAUAUUCUUGUUUUCCUGCAAGCAUCAAAUAUAUUGCCCUUGGUUUUAAUAUUUUUAAAAUAGCAAAAUCCAUGAGAAGAGGGAAUAAAUGUUCCUGGCUUGAAUUUUGGGACAUUAGUCACAGCAUGUUUCUGCACUAGUGUCAUAGAGGAAGGAAAACCUAUCUUUGCAUUGAAAUUAGAGGGUGGAUUUAGGCUAUAAUUUAAUUUCCACAUGCCCAAAUCAUCCAGCAUGCCUCAAUGAGUAGAAAAGCUUGUAAUUAACCCCUUCUCAGGAACCACAAGUAAACAGGAUUGUUUGAGGAAACUGAUUUCUCAAUGUGAACUGGACUUCCAGCUAGAGUGUCUGCUGUCAUGUUAAAAUUAGGGAUUAUUUUGGAAGCCUCCUUCCUUCCUGAUGCUUCUGGCCCUAGCAACUGUUCUUGCUUCCCAAGAAUCCCUUGCACACAGCCCCUGGGUACAAUGCCAUGCUCCUCUCUUGCGUUAAAAGCAAGUUCAGUUCAAGUGCCAAGGUUGCAGGAUCUGCUUAGGUUGGUGGAGUUGAACUCCCUCCCUUGUGGGAGCAGAGGAGAAAGUUUCCAGGUACUUAAAAGUAUGAACUGAACAGUUUUUCAGAACACAUUUCUCUCUUUCUUUCUAUUAAUUGAGUACAUGCAGCAAUAGGGUGUGUGGAAGAUAAAGCAUCUCUGAACUGCAAUUGUCUCUGGAGCAGAUACCUGCCCUUGGACAAGGGAUGGGAAGUUUGAGCUGAUGUCUCCCUUGCAGGGAGCGUGGUUACAGCUGGGCAUGAGCAGUUUCCUGUGGGGAUGGUGUGGUGUCUCAAGGCUUCCUCACAAAUGAGGAAUGUCUGCUCAGCCUCUCUUCUGGUUUACCAAAGGCAACAUAGACGUUUUUCAACUAUUUCAACUUGCUAAAAGUUUCAGUUAUGAAAUGCUUCUCCAGACUUUCCUGUUUGUCAGACUUUGUACUAGACGGCCCCUAUGGCAACUAUCAAUGUACUCUAACACGUUUUUUGGGGAAGUGCAGCCCAGAUUUUGGCUUAAACUGUCCUGUCAGAAGUAAUUUUAUUUUUUUUUUUACAAGGACAAACAAAGGAAGACUAGACUUUAGACACUUCAACACAAACUGCUGAGUGCUUCUAAUAAAGCUUCUUGUCCAUACUCCGGCUACUUGAGAUCACAGUUUGUUGUCUGACAUCCUUCCUCUCAAAGAGCAAAAAACAUUUGCUCUUUAAGAUAGCAAACAACAAAAAGCAUUUCAUUGAAAGUUGGACAAAGGCCUUUAGGUAAAUUCUGCUAUCCAAUAAAGACUAUGUACAAACACAUGCAAAAAGCACUCAAAAGUUUGCUCCCUAGGCUUAACUUUCAAGGCACUUCUCACUUCUACCAACAGCUUAGUCUGGUCUUGUCAGAAGCUUAUUCUUUUUCUAAUUGCCAGCACAAAAUGUUUUUAAUUUAUGUUUUGACAGCUAAAAUACUACAUCUUCAUAAAUACAAAGAAAUGUCAAUAGCAUCAGCACAGAAGCGAAGAAACCAGAUGCAGUAGUAACAGCUGGGGGAGACUGCAAUGAUUCUAUAAAAAGUUAAGAGAAGCAUCUGCUUAUAGUUUGAUAAAAGCUAUCUGUCUAAAUCCAACCUAGAAAAUCAGAUCCUGCUACAGCUGGCAUAGAGAUUAUGAACAUCUCACAGAACAAAAAAUCCCCACCACCCUGUUUAGAAAGAAUUGGUUUUGAUCAAGAUAUUUCCUUCACUUCUGUCCUUUU
This is a non-coding RNA of Cyanistes caeruleus (blue tit), 4562 nucleotides long. The record is from RefSeq and is a predicted model, not a curated record. Lineage: Eukaryota; Metazoa; Chordata; Aves; Passeriformes; Paridae.